GUGGGUGAGGGGUUAAAUAUAGAAGUAUUUUCCUUCUUGCUGAUCUAUAACGAUUUUGUUCUAUGCCAAUCCGUUGAAUUCAAGUAUUUAUGAAACGUCUACUGUGGGCCAGGCUACAAAGACAAACGUGAAACUGUGCCUGGCCUCAAGGAGCUUACAUUCAGCUGGGGCUGUCACCAUGUACAUAGACAGGCACAAACACAAAGCAGAUACAACGUGACUUUGGCUGGGGUAGGAACAGAGGAAAAGAAACCAGAAAAUGCCUCAUGUGGAAUUAAGUAACCUCAGAGCUGGAGCUUGAAGGGAAUGGAGCUCAAAUAAGAGGUUGUUAGUCAGCAUUUCUUAAUCUUUGGUGGGGGGCAGUAGUGAGAGAUAGAAGGUACUAAAGAUAUUAAUGUGUAUUCUUUACUGCCCCAGAGUCCCUGAGAGGCCCCUGCUUACCUUUGGAACCCCGGCAUCCAGCUAUGCUACCUUGCUCUCUCUGUCUGUGGGAAGUGCCCACCCUCUGAACCAACUUGUCAAACCAGGAAAUACAGCUGGGCUCCACACAAGGCCACCGCAUCUGACCACAUCAAAGUGCUGUACAAAUCUUCCUCUUACAAAACGAAUGACUUCCAUCCCCUCAAGAUCUACUGGUCUCCCUGCCCCUUGUCCUUCAUAAAGGCUACCUGAGCUGCUGCCCUCCCCCAGUCCUGCCCUGGGCUCUGUGUGACAGCUGCCUGCUUGGCCUCUGGCACAGUCUCAAGCCCACGGCCACACCAUGGAGAUAGGUACAACCUGAAAAACAUUACCUUCUUCUUUCAUCUUUGAGGAUUUGUGUUUCCAACUCUGAUUUUUUGUAAUAGCUUACAUGAGAACACAGCUUGCUUCCAGAUGCAUGAUGGAUGAAGAUGGUCUACUGACAGAAAACUGGAGUUCCAAAUUCUACCCUGGACCCUGGAAUUCACAUAACUUGACACACAGAUGUGUCUUAACUCAUAGAUGAGCACUUUCCAGCCUUGCCUAAUGAAUUGCCAAAAUUUCAAAUCAGAGCCUAAAGUUUGGAGCUAGGGGGGGGCCAAAGGGCGUCUCUUUAAAACUCAGUGGCCUAAGGACAAUAUUAAUGACAAGAGCCAUAAUCAGGGUCAGCAUGGCAUGGGGGGGUGGAGCUGGCCUUGAAAUCAGGGACUGGUAGGGAGUAGGUUCACCAAAGAGCAGUGUGGUAACUCCCAUAGAAGUUGUGGCCAGCUUUGCAGAGUCAGAGGUGUGGUGUGAUAUGGCCUCCAUCCAGGGAGAGGAGGAGGGAGGGAAGGAGAGAGAGAGAGAGAGAGAGAGAGAGAGAUGGAUGGAAGGAGAGAGACUACAGGAGGGAGAGAGAGAUAGAGAGAUUGAAAGAGUGAGGGAGGUAUGGAGAUAAAGGAUAGGAGGGGGGAGGGAGAGAAGAAGAGAGAGGAUGGGAGAGAGAGAGACAAAGAAAGAGAGAAAGGAUGGGGAGGGGAGAGAGAGUGGGGGGGAGAGAGGAGAGUGUUCCCUACAUGUCUAUCUCUUCAUGUGUGAAUGCCCACAUGGUCCCUGUGUGUACAUUCCCUGCAUGUGAUUUUUGUAAACAUCCGUUUUACCCAUUGCAUGUGUAUGCAUUUGUGGGAGAGCAAGUUCAAGGUUUAGGAGGGCAAGUGAGGAAU
This 1661-nucleotide long non-coding RNA is filed under the name Phascolarctos cinereus (koala). RNAcentral describes it as "lncRNA (ENSPCIG00000036447.1)". The record is from RNAcentral. Lineage: Eukaryota; Metazoa; Chordata; Mammalia; Diprotodontia; Phascolarctidae.